GCGGAUGAGACACUGCUCUCGUUAUCCUUCGAUGAUUUCUCUCAAAUGCUCAGCUUUAAUGCGUUUGCGCCUUUGUUCUGGCUAGGGUUUCAGCGGAGGACGAUGGAUGAGAAGCAACUACGUAAGCAGAAUUCCUAGUCUUUGCGCUGCUUCAACGUCUCGCCAGCACUGAAUACUGGGGAGUUUGUGUUGGAGAAUUGCUUUGGUAAUUUUGUUAUUUCCUUCUCUUUUUAGUUGUUUCUUGCUCGCCCACUAGAGUUUAGAAAUUUGAACAAUUGCUUUGUUGUUCCUCUUAUAAUUUCUAUGUUUUUUAUUGCUAGAAUUGAGAAUUUUGAUUUUUGAUUUUCGAUAUUAAAUACAAAUUUGCUUCCUUAAGCAGGCAACUCGCAACAUGUUUAAUAUUUCCAAUCUUGGGUAACAUGACAAUUGAUAUGGGCUAGGUGUGUGAAUGUUUGCUUAUGGGUUAUGUUUAACCUACCCCAAAUUGAGAGUUGCAGGCAAAACGAGAAUCGAUACGGGGUGAAAAUGGAAAGAGGUUGAUAGUGUUUUGACUUAUGAUGAUUAAGCAGAAUCGAGGAUCAAGCAGGUCAAGCUCGCCCUCGUAAAGAGCGGUGAAGGGCCAUUGGAGUAUUCUGAAAACUAACUUCUACGAUGAGAGAGACAGAGGUCUCCACUUAAUUCGGCGGAGCGUAUUUUAUCGUCAUAGGAGACUAUGGAAUUGAGGGAUUUUGUGCGUCUGGAUAACUAUGUUUCAUUUUCACGAUUUUAUUAUCUAGGUUUUCAAGAUUGGUUUGUCUAUAAUUUACAUUGCAAAGAAACCUACUUUUUCUUCAUAUCUUCUUCUAUCCUCUUUUUCUUUUUUCGUUUUUUUCAUAGACAAAAUCCGAAGUAAGCUAAAUCAUGGUAAUAGAAAUCAAAGUGCUCCAAAGGAACAACUCGUGUAAUCAUCAAACGGUGAUACGCUAAUAUUUUGACUAAUUUAGUUCGUAAGUUCCAGCCCAUGGUUUAUUUCUCUAAAUUUUGUUUAUUUAUUUUAGUUUUGAUUAAUUUGAUAUCUUGUUGAAAUUUAGCCAUAACUUAAUAUCUUCAUAUAAUUAUAUCUUCUAUAAUAGAUGGCAUUAACAUCAAAUGGUUGGCAUUGGAAAAUAACAAUAUCCUAUUCAUGAGAAUGGAGAAAUGAUGCUUAAACAUUCUAUUAUUGACUUAGAUGGAUUUUGCAGUUGUGUACAUGAGAUUUUUUUUGGAAAAACUGAAAUUUGCAGAAGCCAGCCAAGUGAGCUUUAGAAAUAUAUAUGGUGAUCAUUCUUUGCAUUUUUGUGUUUGAGUGGUAUUUUAGGCAAAAAUAUAAAGCUUAAGUUCACGGAUAAGAUGUUGUCUUACUUGUAGUGUUAUAUAUAUUUUCAAAAGAUAACCAGAAAGUGAUUGAAUUUGUUAUUUGUUGUUGAUAAUUUGUGGUGCAUUGACAGGUGGAGGAGGAUAGGAGGUUCAACAAAAGCUAGAGUCGAGUGCAAACUAGAGUUUGGAUUUGUAAUAGAGCUUUGAAAAAUUAAGCAAGAAUAUAUAUUUGGUUAUUUCGCAUUAGUGGACAGUGAUUUUCAAUUUCUUAGUACAACUACUUUUUGUGCUAGAAUUUUCAAUUCAUACACCUCGAUCAUAUACUCCAAGUAGUGUAUUAAGUAAGUUGAGCCACGAGCAAUCAUUUACAC
RNAcentral lists this long non-coding RNA (1706 nucleotides) under Erythranthe guttata (spotted monkey flower). Its description in RNAcentral is "long non-coding RNA (EGUT_LNC000255)". Lineage: Eukaryota; Viridiplantae; Streptophyta; Magnoliopsida; Lamiales; Phrymaceae. The record is from RNAcentral.